Molecule: ribosomal RNA, 450 nt
Filed under: uncultured bacterium
Lineage: Bacteria
Description: partial 16S ribosomal RNA
Rfam family: Bacterial small subunit ribosomal RNA
Source: RNAcentral
GUGGGGAAUCUUCCGCAAUGGACGAAAGUCUGACGGAGCAACGCCGCGUGAGUGAAGAAGGUUUUUGGAUCGUAAAGCUCUUUCGUUAGGGACGAACGUGCUCUUUGUGAAUAAUGAGGAGUAAUGACGGUACCUAAAUAAGAAGCCACGGCUAACUACGUGCCAGCAGCCGCGGUAAUACGUAGGUGGCAAGCGUUGUCCGGAAUUAUUGGGCGUAAAGCGCGCGCAGGCGGGAUAUCAAGUCUGUCUUAAAAGUGCGAGGCUCAACCUCGUGAGGGGACAGAAACUGGUAUUCUUGAGUGUCGGAGAGGAAAGUGGAAUUCCAAGUGUAGCGGUGAAAUGCGUAGAGAUUUGGAAGAACACCAGUGGCGAAGGCGACUUUCUGGACGAUGUCUGACGCUGAGGCGCGAAAGCUAGGGGAGCGAACGGGAUUAGAUACCCUAGUAGUCC